This 1761-nucleotide long non-coding RNA is filed under the name Nicotiana tabacum (common tobacco). RNAcentral's name for it is "long non-coding RNA (NTAB_LNC008495)". Lineage: Eukaryota; Viridiplantae; Streptophyta; Magnoliopsida; Solanales; Solanaceae. The record is from RNAcentral.
UUUUAAACCCUAACUGAACUUUUUUUCCAUUCAGCCAGCAUUAGGGUUUUAAACCCUAAACUGAGCUUUUUCAUGCAAUCAGCAUUAGGGUUUUAAACCCUAAACUGAAUUUUUCCUUUAGUCAGCAUUAGGUUUUAAACCCUAAACUGAACUUUUUUUCCUUUCAGCCAGCAUUAGGGUUUUAAACCCUAAACUGAGCUUUUCCAUGCAAUCAGCAUUAGGGUUUUAAACCCUAAACUGAAUUUUUCCUUUACUCAGCAUUAGGGUUUUAAACCCUAAACUGAACUUUUUUUCCUUUCAGCCAGCAUUAGGGUUUUAAACCUAACUGAGCUUUUCCAUGCAAUCAGCAUUAGGGUUUUAACCCCUAAACUGAAUUUUUCCUUUAGUCAGCAUUAUGGUUUUAAACCCUAAACUGAACUUUUUUCCAUUCAGCCAGCAUUAGGGUUUUAAACCCUAAACUGAGCUUUUCCAUGCAAUCAGCAUUAGGGUUUUAAACCCUAAACUGAAUUUUUCCUUUAGUCAGCAUUAGGGUUUUUAACCCUGAACUGAACUUUUUCCUUUAAUCAGUCUUAGGGUUUUAAACCCUAAACUGAACUUUUUCCAUUCAGCCAGCAUUAGGGUUUUAAACCAUAAACUGAGCUUUUCCAUGCAGUCAGCAUUAGGGUUUUAAACCCUAAACUGAACUUUUCCUUUCAAUCAGCAUUAGGGUUUUAAACCCUAAGCUGAACUUUUCCCUUUCAGUCAGCAUUAGGGUUUUAAACCUUAAACUGAACCUUUCCCUUUCAGUCAGCAUUAGGGUUUUAAACCCUAAACUGAACUUUUUCCAUUCAGCCAGCAUUAGGGUUUUAAACCCUAAACUGAGCUCUUCCAUGCAGUCAGCAUUAGGGUUUUAAACCCUAAACUGAAUUUUCCUUUAGUCAGCAUUAGGGUUUUAAACCCUAAACUGAACGUUUUCCAUUCAGCCAGCAUUAGGGUUUUAAACCCUAAACUGAGCUUUUCCAUGCAAUCAGCAUUAGGGUUUUAAACCCUAAACUGAAUUUUUCCUUUAAUCAGCAUUAGGGUUUUAAACCUUAAACUGAAUUUUUCCUUUAGUCAGCAUUAGGGUUUUAAACCCUAAACUGAACUUUUUUCCAUUCAGCCAGCAUUAGGGUUUUAAACCCUAAACUGAGCUUUCCAUGCAAUCAGCAUUAGGGUUUUAAACCCUAAACUAAAUUUUUCCUUUAGUCAGCAUUAGGGUUUUAAACCCUAAACUGAACUUUUUCCUUUAGUCAGCAUUAGGGUUUUAAACCUUAUACUGAGCUUUUCCUUGCAAUUAGCAUUUGGGUUUUAAACCCUAAGAUGAACUUCUCCCCAGCUAGUCGGUAUUAGGACAUUUCCUUAGGAAGAACCUAGAUCCUUAUGGAUUUGCUAGGAAAAUCCUUGGAAUCUUAUAGGCUUGUAGAGAAUUCUAGAAAAAACCCUUAUCUUGUAAAUAUCAAGGACUUGUGUAAUAAUUAAUAUUUACGCACUAGCCCCUAGGAGACUAGUAUAUAAAGGGGGUCAUUCAUUUGCAAUUCAUCAAGCAAGCAAUUCAAGUUCUCUCUAAUACAAAGCUUCCUUUAACAAUUCUCUUGUGUUCUUUCUUCCAUUCUCUUAGUGAUCUUGAGUAUAGUAAGGCUGACUUGGCAUAGCAAGAACGUGAGCAAGUUGUGCAAGAUCGUGAGCGAGUUGUCAAGUGUCGCACGUGUACUUAGUUAACAACUAAGGACGUGACAACGUGGU